This 71-nucleotide transfer RNA is filed under the name Ovis aries (sheep). It matches the Rfam family "tRNA". Rfam says of the family: Transfer RNA (tRNA) molecules are approximately 80 nucleotides in length. Lineage: Eukaryota; Metazoa; Chordata; Mammalia; Artiodactyla; Bovidae. The record is from Rfam by way of RNAcentral.
UCCCUGGUGGCUCAGAUGUUAAAGCGCCUGCCUGCAAUGCAGAGACCUGGGUUCGAUCCCUGGGUGGGGAA